UAAGUAGACCAGGUAAUCGCGGAAGAAGAAUAAUUUCUUUCGAGGAAAGUCCGAGCUCCGCAGGGCAAAGUGCUGGGUAACCCCCAGUGAGGGUGACCUCAAGGAAAGUGCUACAGAAAAUACACAGCCCGGCAAUCAAAUUUGUGCGCUGGGUAAAGGUGAAAAGGCAGGGUAAGAGCCUACCAGUUGUUAGGUGACUAACAAGCUUAGUAAACCCCACUUGGAGCAAGACCAAAUAGGAAGAGUUGUGGUGGCCCGCUGAAUCUUCGGGUAGGUCGCAAGAGGUGUAAGGUAACUUACAUCCCAGAUAGAUGAUUACCACCCUUAUUAGUUAGUUACUUGGUUAGAUGGUUAAAUUCGCAUCUUGCAACUUGUAUUUUACACUAACGACUAACGACUAUUCACUAACAACUAACUUAUAAGGGAACAGAACUCGGCUUAUGGUCUACUUAUAAG
RNAcentral lists this RNase P RNA (456 nucleotides) under Candidatus Atribacteria bacterium. RNAcentral's name for it is "RNase P RNA component class A". It matches the Rfam family "Bacterial RNase P class A". Rfam says of the family: Ribonuclease P (RNase P) is a ubiquitous endoribonuclease, found in archaea, bacteria and eukarya as well as chloroplasts and mitochondria. RNAcentral also lists the same sequence under 1 other name. The record is from RNAcentral. Lineage: Bacteria; Pseudomonadati; Atribacterota; Atribacteria.